GACGAACGCUGGCGGCGUGCUUAACACAUGCAAGUCGAACGGAAAGGCCUGCUUUCCCUUGUGGAUUGCGGGUACUCGAGUGGCGAACGGGUGAGUAACACGUGAGUGAUCUGCCCCCAACUUGGGUAUAAGCCUGGGAAACUGGGUCUAAUUCCCGAUAGGACUGCAGGGUGGUGCCUGUGGUGGAAAACGAUUUUCUAGUGGUUGGGGAUGAGCUCGCGGCCUAUCAGCUUGUUGGUGGGGUAAUGGCCUACCAAGGCGGCGACGGGUAGCCGGCCUGAGAGGGUGGACGGCCACAUUGGGACUGAGAUACGGCCCAGACUCCUACGGGAGGCAGCAGUGGGGAAUAUUGCACAAUGGGCGGAAGCCUGAUGCAGCGACGCCGCGUGGGGGAUGACGGCCUUCGGGUUGUAAACUCCUUUCGACCGCGAGGAAGCCACCUGGUUAGAAGGGUGGUGACGGUAGUGGUAGAAGAAGCACCGGCUAACUACGUG
This 494-nucleotide ribosomal RNA is filed under the name uncultured bacterium. RNAcentral describes it as "partial 16S ribosomal RNA". It matches the Rfam family "Bacterial small subunit ribosomal RNA", at positions 28 to 507 of the family's 1533-position model. The record is from RNAcentral.